CUUCAGGGAACCGAUCCACAGCGGGGUGUCGGCGUCCCGCUCGCGGCCGUACGUGGCCUGCAGUGCCUGCGCCUC
This 75-nucleotide antisense RNA is filed under the name Streptomyces monashensis. RNAcentral describes it as "Streptomyces sp. MUSC 1 ASpks TB sRNA". It matches the Rfam family "ASpks TB sRNA". The record is from Rfam by way of RNAcentral. Lineage: Bacteria; Bacillati; Actinomycetota; Actinomycetes; Kitasatosporales; Streptomycetaceae.